UCAACGGCUGGCCCGCGCCGGACAUGGGCCCGGCCCUCGAGUGGCUGAUCGCCGGCCUGCGCGCCGGCUGAGGCGAUCCCCCCGCCCCCGCCGUCC
Molecule: transfer RNA, 96 nt
Filed under: Streptomyces griseocarneus
Lineage: Bacteria; Bacillati; Actinomycetota; Actinomycetes; Kitasatosporales; Streptomycetaceae
Description: tRNA-Ser
Source: RNAcentral